Molecule: ribosomal RNA, 253 nt
Filed under: uncultured bacterium
Lineage: Bacteria
Description: partial 16S ribosomal RNA
Rfam family: Bacterial small subunit ribosomal RNA
Source: RNAcentral
UACGUAGGUGGCAAGCGUUGUCCGGAAUUAUUGGGCGUAAAGCGCGCGCAGGCGGUCCUUUAAGUCUGAUGUGAAAGCCCACGGCUUAACCGUGGAGGGUCAUUGGAAACUGAGGGACUUGAGUACAGAAGAGGAGAGUGGAAUUCCACGUGUAGCGGUGAAAUGCGUAGAGAUGUGGAGGAACACCAGUGGCGAAGGCGACUCUCUGGUCUGUAACUGACGCUGAGGCGCGAAAGCAUGGGUAGCGAACAGG